CGCCUGGGGAGUGCGGCCGCAAGGUUAAAACUCAAAUGAAUUGACGGGGGCCCGCACAAGCGGUGGAGCAUGUGGUUUAAUUCGACGCAACGCGAAGAACCUUACCUGGCCUUGACAUGCAGAGAACUUUCCAGAGAUGGAUUGGUGCCUUCGGGAACUCUGACACAGGUGCUGCAUGGCCGUCGUCAGCUCGUGUCGUGAGAUGUUGGGUUAAGUCCCGUAACGAGCGCAACCCCUAUCCCUAGUUGCUAGCAGUUCGGCUGAGAACUCUAGGGAGACUGCCGGUGACAAACCGGAGGAAGGUGGGGAUGACGUCAGGUCAUCAUGGCCCUUACGGCCAGGGCUACACACGUGCUACAAUGGCGCGCACAGAGGGCUGCAAACCCGCGAGGGGGAGCCAAUCUCACAAAGCGCGUCGUAGUCCGGAUCGCAGUCUGCAACUCGACUGCGUGAAGUCGGAAUCGCUAGUAAUCGUGAAUCAGAAUGUCACGGUGAAUACGUUCCCGGGCCUUGUACACACAGCCCGUCACACCAUGGGAGUGGAUUGCACCAGAAGUGGUUAGUCUAACCUUCGGGAGGACGAUCACCACGGUGUGGUUCAUGACUGGGGUGAAGUCGUAACAAGGUAACCGUA
RNAcentral lists this ribosomal RNA (634 nucleotides) under uncultured Marinobacter sp. RNAcentral's name for it is "bacterial SSU rRNA". It matches the Rfam family "Bacterial small subunit ribosomal RNA", at positions 870 to 1504 of the family's 1533-position model. Lineage: Bacteria; Pseudomonadati; Pseudomonadota; Gammaproteobacteria; Pseudomonadales; Marinobacteraceae. The record is from RNAcentral.